This 449-nucleotide ribosomal RNA is filed under the name uncultured bacterium. Its description in RNAcentral is "bacterial SSU rRNA". It matches the Rfam family "Bacterial small subunit ribosomal RNA", at positions 29 to 524 of the family's 1533-position model. The record is from RNAcentral.
AACGAACGCUGGCGGCAUGCCUAACACAUGCAAGUCGAACGAAGCCUUCGGGCUUAGUGGCGCACGGGUGCGUAACGCGUGGGAAUCUGCCCUUGGGUUCGGAAUAACAGUUAGAAAUGACUGCUAAUACCGAAUGAUGUCUUCGGACCAAAGAUUUAUCGCCCAAGGAUGAGCCCGCGUCGGAUUAGCUAGUUGGUGAGGUAAAGGCUCACCAAGGCGACGAUCCGUAGCUGGUCUGAGAGGAUGAUCAGCCACACUGGGACUGAGACACGGCCCAGACUCCUACGGGAGGCAGCAGUGGGGAAUAUUGGACAAUGGGCGAAAGCCUGAUCCAGCAAUGCCGCGUGAGUGAUGAAGGCCUUAGGGUUGUAAAGCUCUUUUACCCGGGAUGAUAAUGACAGUACCGGGAGAAUAAGCCCGGCUAACUCCGUGCCAGCAGCCGCGGUAAU